Molecule: ribosomal RNA, 477 nt
Filed under: Triticum aestivum (bread wheat)
Lineage: Eukaryota; Viridiplantae; Streptophyta; Magnoliopsida; Poales; Poaceae
Description: partial small subunit ribosomal RNA
Source: RNAcentral
AUGGACAAUGAGUACUCAAUGGGAUACUAUCUCACCGAUGGCAUCUAUCCCGAAUGGGCAACUCUUGUGAAGUCCAUCAAGGAGAAAAAUGGGGUGCCCUUAACAAGAAAAAAGGCUCAUUUCACCAAGGCACAAGAGGCAGCCCGCAAGGAUAUUGAGAGAGCUUUCGGUGUUUUGCAAGCAAGGUUUGCCAUAGUUCGGGGUCCAGCUCGGUUUUGGGACAAAAAAACCUUGGUGAACAUCAUGAAAUGUUGUGUGAUUCUACACAACAUGAUCCUAGAGGAUGAGAGAGGGUUAAACCUCCCUUGUUUCUAUGACAAUGUUGGUACACGUGUGCAACCGGAAAGAAACCCUUCUCGCACACACGCUUUUCUUCAAGCACACCGUGAGAUUGAGGAUGCAACCACUCAUGGUUGGCUCCGAGAUCAUCUAGUAGAGCACCACUGGCAGUUGGAUGGGCGGUGCAUUGGCCCAUGA